RNAcentral lists this ribosomal RNA (492 nucleotides) under uncultured bacterium. RNAcentral's name for it is "partial 16S ribosomal RNA". It matches the Rfam family "Bacterial small subunit ribosomal RNA", at positions 29 to 507 of the family's 1533-position model. The record is from RNAcentral.
AGUGAACGCUGGCGGUAGGCCUAACACAUGCAAGUCGAACGGCAGCACAGUAAGAGCUUGCUCUUACGGGUGGCGAGUGGCGGACGGUUGAGGAAUACAUCGGAAUCUACUUUUUCGUGGGGGAUAACGUAGGGAAACUUACGCUAAUACCGCAUACGACCUACGGGUGAAAGCAGGGGAUCUUCGGACCUUGCGCGAUUGCAUGAGCCGAUGUCGGAUUAGUUAGUUGGCGGGGUAAAGGCCCACCAAUGCGACGCUCCGUAGCUGGUCUGAGAGGAUGAGCAGCCACACGGGAACUGAGACACGGUCCAGACGCCUACGGGAGGCAGCAGUGGGGAAUAUUGGACAAGGGGCGAAAGCCUGAUCCAGCCAUGCAGCGUGUGUGAAGAAGGCCUUCGGGUUGUAAAGCACUUUUGUUGGGAAAGAAAAGCAGGGGGUUAAUACCACGCUGUUAUGACGGUACCAAAAGAAUAAGCACCGGCUAACUUCGUG